RNAcentral lists this ribosomal RNA (465 nucleotides) under uncultured Klebsiella sp. RNAcentral's name for it is "bacterial SSU rRNA". It matches the Rfam family "Bacterial small subunit ribosomal RNA", at positions 338 to 795 of the family's 1533-position model. Lineage: Bacteria; Pseudomonadati; Pseudomonadota; Gammaproteobacteria; Enterobacterales; Enterobacteriaceae. The record is from RNAcentral.
CCUACGGGAGGCUGCAGUGGGGAAUAUUGCACAAUGGGCGCAAGCCUGAUGCAGCCAUGCCGCGUGUGUGAAGAAGGCCUUCGGGUUGUAAAGCACUUUCAGCGGGGAGGAAGGCGGUGAGGUUAAUAACCUCAUCGAUUGACGUUACCCGCAGAAGAAGCACCGGCUAACUCCGUGCCAGCAGCCGCGGUAAUACGGAGGGUGCAAGCGUUAAUCGGAAUUACUGGGCGUAAAGCGCACGCAGGCGGUCUGUCAAGUCGGAUGUGAAAUCCCCGGGCUCAACCUGGGAACUGCAUUCGAAACUGGCAGGCUAGAGUCUUGUAGAGGGGGGUAGAAUUCCAGGUGUAGCGGUGAAAUGCGUAGGGAUCUGGAGGAAUACCGGUGGCGAAGGCGGCCCCCUGGACAAAGACUGACGCUCAGGUGCGAAAGCGUGGGGAGCAAACAGGAUUAGAUACCCCUGUAGUC